RNAcentral lists this transfer RNA (72 nucleotides) under Bos taurus (domestic cattle). It matches the Rfam family "tRNA". From Rfam's summary of the family: Transfer RNA (tRNA) molecules are approximately 80 nucleotides in length. The record is from Rfam by way of RNAcentral. Lineage: Eukaryota; Metazoa; Chordata; Mammalia; Artiodactyla; Bovidae. RNAcentral also lists the same sequence under 5 other names.
UCCCUAGUGGCUCAAUCUGUAAAGAAUCUGCCUGCAAUGCAGGAGAGCCGGGUUCCAUCUCUGGUUGGGGAA